Molecule: ribosomal RNA, 1474 nt
Filed under: Staphylococcus aureus
Lineage: Bacteria; Bacillati; Bacillota; Bacilli; Caryophanales; Staphylococcaceae
Description: bacterial SSU rRNA
Rfam family: Bacterial small subunit ribosomal RNA
Source: RNAcentral
UUUAUGGAGAGUUUGAUCCUGGCUCAGGAUGAACGCUGGCGGCGUGCCUAAUACAUGCAAGUCGAGCGAACGGACGAGAAGCUUGCUUCUCUGAUGUUAGCGGCGGACGGGUGAGUAACACGUGGAUAACCUACCUAUAAGACUGGGAUAACUUCGGGAAACCGGAGCUAAUACCGGAUAAUAUUUUGAACCGCAUGGUUCAAAAGUGAAAGACGGUCUUGCUGUCACUUAUAGAUGGAUCCGCGCUGCAUUAGCUAGUUGGUAAGGUAACGGCUUACCAAGGCAACGAUGCAUAGCCGACCUGAGAGGGUGAUCGGCCACACUGGAACUGAGACACGGUCCAGACUCCUACGGGAGGCAGCAGUAGGGAAUCUUCCGCAAUGGGCGAAAGCCUGACGGAGCAACGCCGCGUGAGUGAUGAAGGUCUUCGGAUCGUAAAACUCUGUUAUUAGGGAAGAACAUAUGUGUAAGUAACUGUGCACAUCUUGACGGUACCUAAUCAGAAAGCCACGGCUAACUACGUGCCAGCAGCCGCGGUAAUACGUAGGUGGCAAGCGUUAUCCGGAAUUAUUGGGCGUAAAGCGCGCGUAGGCGGUUUUUUAAGUCUGAUGUGAAAGCCCACGGCUCAACCGUGGAGGGUCAUUGGAAACUGGAAAACUUGAGUGCAGAAGAGGAAAGUGGAAUUCCAUGUGUAGCGGUGAAAUGCGCAGAGAUAUGGAGGAACACCAGUGGCGAAGGCGACUUUCUGGUCUGUAACUGACGCUGAUGUGCGAAAGCGUGGGGAUCAAACAGGAUUAGAUACCCUGGUAGUCCACGCCGUAAACGAUGAGUGCUAAGUGUUAGGGGGUUUCCGCCCCUUAGUGCUGCAGCUAACGCAUUAAGCACUCCGCCUGGGGAGUACGACCGCAAGGUUGAAACUCAAAGGAAUUGACGGGGACCCGCACAAGCGGUGGAGCAUGUGGUUUAAUUCGAAGCAACGCGAAGAACCUUACCAAAUCUUGACAUCCUUUGACAACUCUAGAGAUAGAGCCUUCCCCUUCGGGGGACAAAGUGACAGGUGGUGCAUGGUUGUCGUCAGCUCGUGUCGUGAGAUGUUGGGUUAAGUCCCGCAACGAGCGCAACCCUUAAGCUUAGUUGCCAUCAUUAAGUUGGGCACUCUAAGUUGACUGCCGGUGACAAACCGGAGGAAGGUGGGGAUGACGUCAAAUCAUCAUGCCCCUUAUGAUUUGGGCUACACACGUGCUACAAUGGACAAUACAAAGGGCAGCGAAACCGCGAGGUCAAGCAAAUCCCAUAAAGUUGUUCUCAGUUCGGAUUGUAGUCUGCAACUCGACUACAUGAAGCUGGAAUCGCUAGUAAUCGUAGAUCAGCAUGCUACGGUGAAUACGUUCCCGGGUCUUGUACACACCGCCCGUCACACCACGAGAGUUUGUAACACCCGAAGCCGGUGGAGUAACCUUUUAGGAGCUAGCCG